Molecule: long non-coding RNA, 687 nt
Organism: Mirounga angustirostris (Northern elephant seal)
Lineage: Eukaryota; Metazoa; Chordata; Mammalia; Carnivora; Phocidae
Exons: 3
Source: RefSeq, a predicted model, not a curated record
GUAACUAAAGUGCUUAGCAUGGACAGGUUCUUGCUGAAUGCCAGAAGGUCAAGGGGUUCCAGUCCAACGGAUUGUCAACCCCUCUGCAGAUGGGAAAACUGAAGCGCAGAAAGCCUGCCACUCUGUCAGAGGAAAUUAGAUUUGCUUGGCACAACCUGCUCCUUAUGAUGUCAUCCUGGCUGUGAUCUGCGUGUCCUGCUCUCCUAGGAUGCAUCAUCAGCAGAGUGUUCUUGGCAUCACCAUAUUCUUGGCAAGUGCUUUAUGUUUCAUCUAGAACUGAGAGACCGUUCUGGUUGCACAAAAGGGUGAGAACAAGACAACCUGCAGCCCAGAGUGGUCGGGGCUGACUGCUGGGGGGCUGACUUCCCCAGGACCUGUCCCCAGCCCCUCCAACCACAUCCUUUCUAUACGAUCUCCUCCCUCCACCUCAAGCCCCCUUGCCUUGGAAGAUUCCCUUCCCUCCCCUGGAAUAUUCCUCACCAUCACUCUAACCCCAGAUCACCUGGGCUAGGCUCCAGGUGCCUCUGCUCAGGCUAAGUCCCUGCUCUGUGCCCCCAGUGCACCGUGCAUUCACCCCACCAUGCAUGACAUCCAAGGUGUUCAAAUGCUCUGCUCUGUGCCUGGCUCCCUCCCAACCAGUGCCCUCCAGGAGGCAGGGACAGGGACCACAGAGCCCUAAGUGGAUGU